RNAcentral lists this long non-coding RNA (2490 nucleotides) under Sus scrofa (pig). Its description in RNAcentral is "lncRNA (ENSSSCG00050022705.1)". The record is from RNAcentral. Lineage: Eukaryota; Metazoa; Chordata; Mammalia; Artiodactyla; Suidae.
UUUUCAAGGGUUGUGUCUUUUCCUUUUUCCUUUCUUUCUUUAUGUAUUUCAUUAUUUAUAAUUUUUGAUUAGUUGCUCUUCCCUUUUGCACUGUUGCUGUGCUAGACCCAUAUCAGUAUCUCGAUAAGUAUAAUUAAUAAAUGAUUUGCAUUCAGCUUUCUACGAAACACAACUCUCUAUUACCUGCAUUUUCUUACAUUUAAGGUAAAGGAACACUUAAUUACAGUGACCUCUGAACACACUACUGGAUUAUAAAUAGUCAUCUGAAGCAUCAUACAAUGAUAAAAUUAUGUUCAUGAGGAUCUUGAACUGCAGAUUAGUGUCCCCACCUGUUGGCUGAGCUGACCAGCUCUAUCGAAAGGUCUUACGGACACCUCAAUUACAUCAUGUGCAAAAUUAAAUUAUUUCUCUUCUUCUACCCAACAUUUCUCUUCAGUGCCCAAACAUCCCAACUAGACACCAAGGUGUCACCCACAAUUUUUUUUUUUCUCACUCACCUUCCAUAUGGUCUCUGAGAAUGGAUACUCUGUAUCCAUACUAACUGCUAACUAUAUUUCAGUUCCAUCCCCUCCUUUAUGUGCUUUAAUUCCUUCACUCAAAAGAUUUUGACACUUUUGUUAUAAGUUACCAGUCUCUCAUCACUGUCAUUCUUCCUCCCAGGUACCCAAAGUUUCUUUCUGGAAUAGAAACCAUUCACUUCUUGAAGACUGCUGACAGCAGCUUCUGUAUUAAAGUAGUAUUUUCUACUGUGGGACCCAUUGAACCCUAAGAAUACUGUGAAAAGGGAAAAGGCAAAGAGGUUUAGAGCAAGUUCUUAGGAAUUAAUAAUGCAAAGCUGCAUAUUAAAGGCUCUGAGGUCUUGUAGGAAAGAAACCCUUGUUAAAGCCUAACACAGUGUUCCCUAUAUUUUGUUUGAUCUUCGACCCCCCUGUUUUCUCGUACAACACCAACUCACAUCUCAAGGCACCAGUGUUCUAAGCAUAACCUGAGAAAAUACCAUCCAGCCUGAUGAAUGAAUAGCAGUGCCCACCCUCCUCCAGCAGACACCAAUCACACCAUGUUUAUAACUAUUCCCAAGGCGAUAACAUACUAUUUGUUUUAUCAAGUUAAAAUGAAGUUCCCUCAAAAUAGAAAGUGUUUCCCCCAACUUUUCAAUCUGAAGAACUCUUACUAACAAUUUCAAGACCCAACUCAAGCAUUACCACCUCUUUAAAGUCUUCCUCAAAUCCUCUGCUGUUAUUGGUCCUCGUUCUGAUGCGACAUGGACACGUUCCUAAAGCCACCUUCCCUACCAGACUGCUAGACCCUUUUAUCUUGGUAUCUGGAGUCCAUAGCACAAUAUCCAGCAUGGAGCAGUAACUCAACAAAUGUCGACCAAAGGUGUAUUUCAUUGUAUUCUAACUCAGUACCUUACAGGUAGUAGGUGUCAAUGCAUAUUUAUUAUACAAUUUCUUGAGAGAGGUCAAAUUGACUUUAAAGAAAUGUCACCUGGAUGGCUGCAGCUGAGAUAAAGGGAUUUUCCAAAAGGAGAGGCAUCUAUAGUUCUGGUCUAUCUAGAGAGGCUAGAUUCAAUCAGCCACCUGAUUAUUUCUUCUCACCCCCAAAUUCCUGAGCACCUCCUGUAUUGUGAGCGCCUCAUGAGAAUAAACAAUCUUCCCCCAAAGAGGAAGAGAUAUAUUUUCCAGCCACUAAUAUAGUUCAUCAUGGGGAUGGCACUAGUGUGCACAAGGCACAGUGUUGAACGCCUGCUGAGGGACUGUCCUCAUCCAGACACGAGGUACCCAGUGGUUCCAAGAGUUCUAGUAACUUCCUAACUCCUUACUGGUGAGAAAGGAUCCACUGAGAAACAGUCUAGCUCUAUACCACUCUGACCAAGGUAAUCUUCAAAGAGUUGUGUCAAACGUUUUUAAUGAUGAGGCAAAUCGGUUUUCCAGCAGAGCUAUCUAUUUCAUCUCUUCCCACCCCCUUUUCCACAUCUAUCAGAGGAGGAUAAAUGAAGUAGCAUUUGAAAACUUUUAACACCUUGCUUGCCGCCCAGCAGGUAAUCAAUAAAAAACAUGUUACGUUUGAUUCUGCUUUCUCCUACAUGUUAGUUUAUAAAAAUAAAAAGAGGAACCACUUACAUGAAACUAAUAACCAACUCAAAAAUCUGCUACUAAGUAUAUUUUGGACAGAUCUAUUUGUCGCUGCUAUUUUCCAUAUUAAAUUAAAAUUAAGACACUCUCAAAAAAAAGCCUUCCUCAUUCAGCAGAAUAGUUUUCAUAAUUAGUGGUUAACGAAUCCAACUAGGAACCAUGAGAUUGAGGGUUCGAUCCCUGGCCUUGCUCAGUGGGUUAAGGAUCUGGCGUUGCCGUGAGCUGUGGUGUAGGUCACAGACAUGGCUCGGAUCUGGUGUUGCUGUGGCUCUGGUGUAGGCUUGGCAGCUACAGCUCCAGUUAGACCCCUAGCCUGGGAAUCUCCAUUUGCCACUGGAGUGGCCCUAGAAAAGGC